Molecule: unclassified non-coding RNA, 309 nt
Filed under: plant metagenome
Description: partial contains 5.8S ribosomal RNA, internal transcribed spacer 2, and large subunit ribosomal RNA
Rfam family: 5.8S ribosomal RNA (bases 1-105)
Source: RNAcentral
GAAAUGCGAUAAGUAGUGUGAAUUGCAGAAUUCAGUGAAUCAUCGAAUCUUUGAACGCACAUUGCGCCCCUUGGUAUUCCAUGGGGCAUGCCUGUUCGAGCGUCAUUUGUACCCUCAAGCUCUGCUUGGUGUUGGGUGUUUGUCCCGUCUCCGCGCGUGGACUCGCCCCAAAGUGAUUGGCAGCCGGCGUACUGGUCCCUGAGCGCAGCACAUGUCGCGCAAACGAGUGCCUUGGUACGGCGGCGUCCAUAAGCCCCUCUCUCACGCUCUUGACCUCGGAUCAGGUAGGGAUACCCGCUGAACUUAAGC